UGUACGAGCAUCAGUCAGCUGAUAGCUUCAUGGUGAAAACUUGUGUCGGUUUGCAAAUUGACACGUUUGUUUUUAUUUUUGGUUCCGUUUCGUUAAUUUACCACCCGCUUCCACGGAUUUGAUCUGACUCAGUGGCGCAUCAGGCAAUAGUGAAAUAUAUUCCUCAUUCCCUGGAAGAAGCCACCCAGGAAGGAUGGAUUACUCUACGCAGAACACCGAUCGGUACUCGAGGGAACGAGUUCUCCGUAGAUACAGACCAGGAUUGAACAUACUAAAACGCACUUCGAGCCGUGGGAUAAUUCAUAGUACCAUUAUGUUUCCCGGAUUAUUUCGAAGUGACAAUAGUUAGUGAGUAGUAAAAAGCAUCGCAAUUUUAUUUGUAAUAAUAAAUAAUAAUUUAAAAAUAAAAGAAACGAUAAAAUCAAUCAAACAACCAAUUGUUCUUAAUAAGCUUUCAUUUCAAAUUUAUUCACAAUCCAUUUAGAAUCAAGUAAAACUAACAAUAACUUUCAUCGCCAUAUCGCGUUGAACGCACUAGAAAAUCACGUAAAUUAUAGGUGAGGUCCAUGAAGCACAAAUUCUUAUUAGGGGAGCGUUUACAUAAUUUAU
Long non-coding RNA from Uranotaenia lowii, 609 nucleotides. RefSeq lists it as uncharacterized. The record is from RefSeq and is a predicted model, not a curated record. Lineage: Eukaryota; Metazoa; Arthropoda; Insecta; Diptera; Culicidae. The transcript has 3 exons.